AGGACAGUUGCAUAUUUUAGUAUGUAGGUCUAACUGACUAAAUAUUUAAAACGUUUACAGGCAGUUCCUUCAGGAAAAAUUGCUUCCCCUGUCUCCAGAAAGGAGCCUCCGUUAACUCCUGUUCCUCUUAAACGUGCUGAAUUUGCUGGCAAACCUGUACAGGUCGAGAGUACAGAAGAAGAGCAGGAGUCAGGGGCAAUGGAGUUUGAAGAUGGUGACUUUGAUGAGCCCAUGGAAACUGAAGAGGUGGACCUGGAGCCUAUGGCUGCCAAGGCUUGGGACCAAGAGAGUGAGCCUGCAGAGGAAGUGAAACAAGAGGCGGAUUCUGGGAAAGGGACCAUGUCCUACUUAGGAAGUUUUCUCCCAGAUGUCUCUUGUUGGGACGUUGAUCAAGAAGGUGAUAGCAGUUUCUCAGUGCAAGAAGUUCAAGUGGAUUCCAGUCAACUCCCAUUGGUAAAAGGGGCAGAUGAGGAACAAGUAUUCCACUUUUAUUGGUUGGAUGCUUAUGAAGAUCAGUACAACCAACCAGGUGUGGUAUUUCUGUUUGGCAAAGUUUGGAUUGAGUCAGCUGAGACCCAUGUGAGCUGUUGUGUCAUGGUGAAA
Molecule: long non-coding RNA, 603 nt
Filed under: Rhinopithecus bieti (black snub-nosed monkey)
Lineage: Eukaryota; Metazoa; Chordata; Mammalia; Primates; Cercopithecidae
Description: lncRNA (ENSRBIG00000045478.1)
Source: RNAcentral